RNAcentral lists this long non-coding RNA (3704 nucleotides) under Physcomitrium patens. Its description in RNAcentral is "long non-coding RNA (PPAT_LNC006274)". The record is from RNAcentral. Lineage: Eukaryota; Viridiplantae; Streptophyta; Bryopsida; Funariales; Funariaceae.
GUGUGAUUAGUCAACUUUUUAGCAUGAAUUGAGCUUACAUCCAACAGAAGUAACAUUCAAGCAACAAUAAGUUUUUUCUCUUUGUAUAAGAAGUAACAAACAAUUCAGAGAUUUGUGCUAUGCCAACAUUUUGAUUUAUCAAAGAUUGUAAACAAAUAGAUAAACUAUUUGGGGCAAAUAAAGAUGAAUUGGAGAAAAAAGAAAAAAGAAAACUCAGUUCUAUUCCAGUAAUAAAUUGUAAAAUUUGAAUUUCUUUGUUCACAAUAAUCCAUUUUAUUAUGCUAUUCAUUAGAUUUUAAAAGAAAUAAGUUUGUCUUUGGAAUGAUAUUAAUGCAAGAUUGAAUGAAUUUAUUACAAUGACUACAAAACAUAAUAAUACAUGUUUAAUACUUUUUGAUUAUGUCUUCUGGGUAUAAUUUUAUAACAAAAUUUCAUUACAGUAAUCUAUUGAGUUAGAUCUUACAAUAUUAAUAUGAAAAAAAAUUAUGAAAUUUUUAAAAAUUAGGGAUUAUAGUUUAAUUUCAAAGCUUUUGUAUUUUUUGAAAGAAGUAGAACGGUUGAGUUAUUGCUCAACAACUUACCAUCCUAAGGAAGUUUAAGGUAAUUUUAAACAAGUUUUUAUUCUAAGAUAUUAAUAAUUUUUUAUAUUUUAACAACUAAUUUCUUUACUAAAAUAAGUUUUAUAUUACAUCAUUUUGUAUAGAUAUUAAUUUUUUUUAGUGUUUGAACAAUGUUAAAUUCCUUAAAUCUACUAUAACUUCGACUCUCUUUAUAUAAUGUUUUUAUUAAAAUAUUUUAUUGCAUAUGAUAUUUAUUAUUAAAAAUAAAUAAACAAGAAUCAUUUUAAAAUUUAAAUGAUUAUUUAUGCAAAAGGAUUUUAUUUACUUCUAUUAAAAGUUUAAAAUAGCAUGUUUUUACUGUGAUUUUUUCCAUUCAAAAAAAAUACUAACAAUGGCCCUAGAUAUUCUACCAAAACCAUGAUAUUUGUUUGGUCUGCUUCUUUUCUUUCUUGCUUACUUUGUUGAAACAAAUAAAAUACACAAUUGAAGUAAUAAUUUGUUCAGGAAGCUUAGUUAUUAUUAAAGAAUUAUUUUGAUAUAAGCCAUCACGUACAUUUUUGGAUAAUACAUUCAAAAUUAACCCUCCUUAUUGCAUAAAUAAUAGAAUUAAGAAAGCAGUAAAAUAAUAUUAAAACUAAAAUCAACCAAAUUCAAAUCUUAAACUUGGUUGUCUUUAUAUGUACAAACAUACCUUCUAUAUAUACGUACAUAUGUAUCAAACGUAAUCAUUAAGAAAGCUAAAUAAUCAUUGAGUCCUAAAUGUUCUUUUAUUAGUGCAAAAAAUAAUUAUUAUGUUUUGGCUAAUAUAUAAUAUUACUGAAAAAAAUCAUAUUUUAUAAGGGCAACUAAAACAUGAUAAUUUUUCAUUCAAUAUUAAUUUUUUUAUAUUAUAAUGACAUGAUAUAAAUACUCUUUGUUUUACCAUAAUGACCUUUUUUCGCAGAAUAAUUAAUUUUGCUUAAUUUUCAUUAACUAAGAGUGUUGGUUUGCAAUUCCUGGUAAUUUAGAAUUUAGAAUAGAUUGCAAGCAAUUGCAAACCUGUAAUGCACAUUCAAAUAUAAAUUUCAAUUUCAAGAUUUAUUCCUUUCAAGAAUUUCAAAAAUAAAUUUUGUCAAAAUCUUUAAUUUUCAUUGAACAUAAUAUAUUUCCUUACUCAAAAUUAUACCCAUUCAACAAACUUCAAGGACAGACUUUUUAGUCAAUUGCAAAUAUCAAUAACACACAUCAAUUUUACCAUGUUAAUAUCAAUUUAAUUUAUGCUGAGUAUUUUAUUGUCAUUGUUACAAUAGUUAUAAUCUCUCUCUCUCUAUAUAUAUAUAUACCAAAAAAAAAAACAUUUAUAACAUAAACAUUCUUUGAAACUGUUGAUUUUGAUUUUUGUUUCAGGAAUAAAAAUUACAAUAAAUCUAUCACAAUUUCAAUAUCCUUUGUGAAGGGCACAAUGGUUAACAAUCCUCGAAUGUUUACAUUGGAAUAUUGGUGAAUAUUUGCAGAUUUUACAAGUCAAUUGUAACACUAGAUAUCACAAUAAUAUGACUUUUUGAGAAUAUUCGAUGUAUAUAUAUAGAGAGAACAAAUAAAAAUAGUUGUGAUAGCAGGAACAAAAAUUGAGGUGGGAUGUGUUAGAAUCUCGUGGCAGUAGCCAAAACUGUAGUGCUGGUAGCAACACCCUAUUUAUAUAAUUUUUGAUGAAACCCACAAAAACAGUUUAAUAUAACAUUGAGCAGUUGUUCAUUAAAAAAUAGAAACUCAACUGACAAACUUGGAAAUGAAAUCCCAUUUAUUUUAAAAAUAUUACAGUCAAUAGCAUAUAUAUAUAUAUAUAUAUAUAUAGAAUGAACUAGUAGAGUGGCUGUACUUACAUGACAGUGUUUUGUGUUCUAAUUAUAGAUGGAUGGCAUCGACAAGGGCGCAUGUUCAUCUUGCCAUCACUGUAUCAAGGAUGACCAUAAAAUCGACAAAGAAUGUAGUAAAACCAUUUUUGGAGGUGAACAGUUGAGGAGUAAAAUAGCCUUGUGUGGUAAAUAAAAAAAAAUAGGUGACAUUAAGUAAAGACACAAUUUAGACACGAGUAGGAUCUUACAUCCUACAUGAAAGAAGUUGUUUUGACAUUUUAUAAAUUAUUAUUUUUUGAACAUUGGAUUUAAUUUAUUAAUCAAGCAAAGAAAAAUACAGAUGUGAGUAGCGGAAUGUGAUUUACCUCCAAACUUCAGUCAGAUUGUGAAUGACCACAAGAUUGAAAUGGUUCCAGGAAUCAAAUCAUCUUCACAAGUGCCAUGUUGAUAAAGUAAAAUGGAUACUGUUGGGCAGAUACAAGUUUUAAGAUGUCAGAGUGUGCAAAAACCCUGAUUCCACCAGUUUGUUGUAAAAAUAUCAUCAUAUUUGCAUUGUGUGAAACAACAUCAAAAAAUUGCAUGAUUCAUUCAAUAUGAAUUUCACAAGUUUUUAGUGAUGACUCUUGAAUGAUGCAAACCCUUGUUAACAGUAAAUAAAAUAAAAAUAAAAAUAAAACACAGCAGCAUAUCCACAUAUGUACACAAUUUUAAAGAUUGGUAUACUUCUUAUUUGAGAGCAGACCCCCAUAGCCCACAUCAGUUAAGGUGAGGCAAUGUUGACAUUGAAGUGGUUGUGUGGACAACAACAACUAAGUGCAUUAAAGAGUAUAGAAUUAUCAUUGCCAACUUGCAUUUGACACCAAAAAGGUGUAGAAAACUCGUGCUAUACACAAACCCUAAACCUCUUCAACCCUUACAUUCUGAGUAUGACCCAAGUCAAGCUUUUGGAAUGAUAGCCUGGUACCAAAGGCAGGAUUACCACCAGCGCAGCCAAUCUUGAUAAACUCUUGUAUACCUUAAUUGAACAUCCAGUCAAAUACUACAAGUGGGUACUGAGCCUGGAAACAAGCACUCCAAUCGGAAAACCCUGCUUCGUGAAGUCCCAGCAAGAAGACCACCACCUCAUCUGAUAAGAUUCUGGAAGCUUCCAGAAACUCUUCAGUGUUGGUAUUGGCCCCAAGUGAGGCCAUGAAAAUCAAAAGAACACGAACUAGAAGUGAAGUAAAAGUUCCCCGCACGCAAGAUAUUUCUCUGCUAUAAUAAAUUGAUCCAUCCCUUAGUACACGUGGAGGACAAGGUCCUAAGGGGG